This 518-nucleotide ribosomal RNA is filed under the name uncultured bacterium. Its description in RNAcentral is "bacterial SSU rRNA". It matches the Rfam family "Bacterial small subunit ribosomal RNA", at positions 8 to 521 of the family's 1533-position model. The record is from RNAcentral.
AGAGUUUGAUCCUGGCUCAGGAUGAACGCUAGCUACAGGCUUACACAUGCAAGUCGAGGGGCAGCAUGGUCUAGCAAUAGACUGAUGGCGACCGGCGCACGGGUGAGUAACACGUAUCCAACCUGCCGAUUAUUCCGGGAUAGCCUUUCGAAAGAAAGAUUAAUACUGGAUAGCAUAACGAGAAGGCAUCUUCUUGUUAUUAAAGAAUUUCGAUAAUCGAUGGGGAUGCGUUCCAUUAGUUUGUUGGCGGGGUAACGGCCCACCAAGACAUCGAUGGAUAGGGGUUCUGAGAGGAAGGUCCCCCACAUUGGAACUGAGACACGGUCCAAACUCCUACGGGAGGCAGCAGUGAGGAAUAUUGGUCAAUGGGCGAGAGCCUGAACCAGCCAAGUAGCGUGAAGGAUGACUGCCCUAUGGGUUGUAAACUUCUUUUAUAUGGGAAUAAAGUGCAGUAUGUAUACUGUUUUGUAUGUACCAUACGAAUAAGGAUCGGCUAACUCCGUGCCAGCAGCCGCGGU